Triticum aestivum (bread wheat) is the source of this 2795-nucleotide long non-coding RNA. RefSeq lists it as uncharacterized. The transcript is spliced from 2 exons. The record is from RefSeq and is a predicted model, not a curated record. NCBI's taxonomy places the organism in Eukaryota, Viridiplantae, Streptophyta, Magnoliopsida, Poales, Poaceae.
CGGCCUCGGGGCCGUUUUUCAUUGCCCACCGCCCCACUCAUCGCCCCACCUCUUCCCUCCCCCAGCCACCGCCUGCCUCUAUCUGCACGCGCCGCCGGACCGCCGCCAAUGCUCCAGGCACCCGGUCCACCGCGCCCACGCUCGAGGCGCCCGGGCCGCCCCGUCCACGCUCCAGGCAGACCGCGUCGCCCACGCUCGAGGCUCCCAGGCCGCCCCGUCCAUACUCCAGGCGGACCGCGGCGCCAUAGCUCCAGGCGCCCGGGCCGCCCCGUCCACGCGCCGACCGGACCGCCAGCUCACGCUCCAGCUGCUCGGGCCGCCGUGUCCACGCACCGCCCGGACACAGGCGCCGCCGGUCCUCCAUGCUGUAGGUGCUUUCCCCUCACAUUCUUCCUGGUUGCAGUGACAAUUUUUGGUUUAAUUGUACGCAUGUUCAAUACCACUGCCUUCUAAUUUCUGCUGCUGUGAGUUCUAGGCUUGCUUCAUAGAGUGCCAUAGUUAAAACAGAUGCAAACAUAUGUAUUGCAGCGGUGGACUGCAUAAUGGGAUAGAUGUACAUAAUGGGAAGAUGAUUCCGAUCUGUCUAUCUAUGUUGAGGCUCCUGCACUUUAUGUUGCUUACUCUGAACUCUGUAGUCGCACAUUGUACAUACUGUUCCAAUGUCUGAUUAUUAUAUAUGCUUUUUCACCUCUUUCUGUACUUUGUUGAUUUUUCUUUAACAUUUUUGUUUUUCCUAAAGGAUGUGCAAGAGUAAUCCAGACAAAGUUCCAGGAACGACUACGCAUCGUUCCCCAUUUAAAGACAUAACGAACUGCUCAGGCUCUGAAUAUUGUUAAUGGUCAACUAACAGCUGAGGCACAUGCUUCGUUAGGAUCCAAGGAAUGUACACCUUUGAGAAACAUAACCAACACACACACACACACAAAUGGUAUGUUCAUACUCUGCAUAUCAUAAUUAUUGAAUGACCAUUUACUCUUUUUGCUAGGAGGUUCGUCUCCUGUGUUGUGUCAGAUGCAACAUGUACAGAAGCCGCAGGACGCCCUUGCACAGCGGGAUCUGCCGCCUCCCUUGGACUUCGCCGGCAAGGCGUGAUCCAUCGUCGCCGCCCCACUCCUCCCAUGGGAGGAUGCGGCUGCUAUCAUCAACCUCCGCUCCAUGGGCGUGCUCCCAAAUUCAAUCUUAAAACAACAGUAAAAUCUUUGAGGUCAACAUGCGUUCCUUGCUGGGAGGAAUUUGCUUGCUUGUUUGUUUUUGUGUUGCUUGAUGCAUGUUUGUGAAGAUGCUAAAACUGUUCCGUCAAUUUGAUGAUUUAUUGAUUGGUGCUUGGUAAAUGCUUGUGGAAAUGCUUAGUAAGCUGAUGAUAUGUUAGAUUUGCAGAGACUGAUGUUGCAUGAUGCAAGAAGAAACAUGUGGUUCCGUUGCGAAUCACCACAGCAAUGCAGUAAGUUUCCAGAUUGAUGCUAUUGUUAAUGCACACGAGGGAAUACAUGGUUAUUAUUUUGACCAUAUCGGUGCCAUGGAAGCUGGAGAAUUUUUAUCUACUAUACUUGUUCGUUGCCUGUAUCAUAUUGCAGUUCCAAAGUCCACAUAAGGUAUUCCAUUAACAUUUCGUCCACCAUUUUUUCCACCACUCGAUCACAUAAUGAAUAUCAUGAACAUUCAUACCAAGUUAUUUUGUGUCCUGUCAGUAAGUUUAAAUAAUACAUAAUUCAUUAGCGUGUACUCUGUCAUAGGAUGUUGCUUUACAUGUAAGAUUUUUAUCCCCUUUCUAAUGCUAAUGAUGAAGAUAAUCCUUUUGUGGAAUUAAGCUUCAUUUAGGGUGGAUAAUGUAUGGUUGUGCAUAUGUUGUGUAUUUUUUUAUAUUAAAUGCAUAAUUUUUUCUGGUAUUAAAACAAGUGAGAUUGGUUACAAAUAAACAAGUUAGUUCAGCAGCAUUCACGUUUUUCAACUGGAAUCAUUUUGGCCAGAGUUAUUCCGACCUUUUUGCAAAGUGGUUGAAAUUUUCCUUUGCACUGCAGUUUGGGCGCACCAUGUUUUAAUUGAGAAGGUCGUUGUUGGUAAAUUGAGAGUUCAAAUAGGUCCUUCGACGAGGGUGGCGCUUCGGUGUCGACUGUGGUUCCUUCGCUACCCUCCUCAUUCGGUGUUCCACCUCACCACUCCCCAGCAGUGGAAGCAGAGCAGCCGACGGGUUCCUGGCUUACCUGCCUCGCAAAGAGGCAGUCAUGACUAAACCUGAAAAAAUGAUGCUUCCUGUAUACAUUAGUAGAGGGAAAAAAUGACUUGAUUUCUGUAGGAGUGUGUUGUGGAUUAAGUGGAUAUGUAAUGUCCUUUAAAAAAGUGGAUAGGUAAUGUACUAUUCUUGAUUGCAGCUGGUGCUUUUUUGGAAAUUUGAUAACACCACGAGCAGCAAUCGAUUUUGAAAGCCAAAAAACAUCCAAAACAUGUACAGUGGGAGUACUGCUAGUUUAGGAGCAAAGUAACCAUUACUAGAGUAAUGAAUAUGGGAAAUGAAUAGUUGAUGAAAUUGAGCACUCUUGUAAUUCUCGACAGUGAAAUGGUCUUUUUUUUUGUCCCAGUAAAGGUUGGAGGUACAAUCAGCUUCAAUCUUGAGUACCCAAUUGUAGAGAAUUCGAAAGGAGGCACAACAUAUAUGGAAGUAUGAACUCUGGCAGUAACAAUUUUAUGUUUCCAAGUUAGGUUGAUGAUGUUCAGGUUAAUGGACAACUGUACAGACACUUAAUAGAACACAAACUUUUGUUGUUGAGUUCAAUCUAAAGUGUCCCGUGUAUAUUUUU